UUUGACAACCAGAAGGUGUACGCCGUGUACCGCGGCCCGGAGGAGCUGGGCGCCGGGCCCGAGAGCCCCCCGCGCGCCCCCCGCGACUGGGGAGCGCUGCUGCUCCACAAGGCCCAGAUCCUGGCGCUGGCAGAAGACAAAUCUGACCUUGAAAACAGUGUGAUGCAGAAGAAAAUAAAAAUCCCCAAACUUUCUCUCAAUCACGUAGGAGAAGAUGGGGAGGUUAAAGAUUAUGGGGAAGAAGAUUUACAGCUUAGACACAUCAAGAGACCCGAGGGGCGGAAGCCGAGCGAAGUGGCGCAUAAGAGCAUUGAGGCCGUGGUGGCCCGGCUGGAGAGGCAGAACGGCCUGAGCCUGGGCCACAGCACGUGUCCAGAGGAGGUCUUCGUGGAGGCCUCGCCGGGCACGGAGGACAUGGACAGUCUGGAGGACGCCGUCGUGCCCCGGGCUCUGUACGAGGAGCUGCUGCGCAACUACCAGCAGCAGCAGGAGGAAAUGCGUCACCUCCAGCAGGAGCUGGAGCGGACUCGGAGGCAGCUGGUCCAGCAGGCCAAGAAGCUCAAGGAGUACGGGGCACUCGUGUCGGAAAUGAAGGAGCUCCGUGACCUCAACCGGAGGCUCCAGGACGUGCUGCUCCUAAGGCUCGGCAGUGGUCCCGCCAUUGACUUGGAAAAAGUAAAGUCAGAAUGUCUCGAGCCCGAGCCGGAGUUACGGAGCACUUUCAGUGAGGAAGCAAAUACGUCGUCCUAUUACCCCGCUCCUGCACCUGUCAUGGACAAGUAUAUCCUAGACAAUGGCAAGGUCCAUCUGGGAAGCGGGAUUUGGGUUGACGAGGAGAAGUGGCACCAGCUACAAGUCACCCAAGGAGAUUCCAAGUACACAAAGAACUUGGCAGUCAUGAUUUGGGGAACAGAUGUUCUGAAGAACAGAAGCGUCACAGGAGUUGCCACAAAAAAAAAGAAAGAUGCGGUCCCUAAGCCACCCCUCUCGCCUCACAAACUAAGCAUUGUCAGAGGUACCGAUGAAGGUGGUGAAGCAUCAUCGCAUGUUAUGGCAGGACAAAGAGGGCCGCGUUCGGCGUGGUGGUUGGAGCAGGCCUGCUUGAAGAGGCUGGGGACUGGCGGCGGAGGAGGCAGCCCUGGAGGUCUGAGGGGUGGUAUGACAGGUGCUGAGGCCAGCACGCUCGAGGGGUGAGGAAGCUCCAGACAGCCACAGGGUCACAAGUGAGGGGAGAGUGAGGUCAGGGAGGUGGGCGAGAGCAGGUCUUGAGGGCCACGAAGGCCACGUGAAACGGUUUAAGUCUACUGUACUCACAGGAGAAGGGCAGUAGGGUCUGCAGAUCGUGAGUGACCAGAUGGGAGAUCAGUCAGGACACUCAUGCCGUGGUCUCAGGUCAGACGAUGGUGCCGUGGACUAAGGCUAUAGCAGUGGGAAUGGUGGGAUACGGCCAGAGUUAGGGUAUGUUUUAGAGGUCAAGAUAGCAGGACUCAGUGAGGUUCAGUGCUCCGGCUGAGGUUGAAGCCGUAAGGUUCAGGCCCAUGCCACCCUGACUCUGGUGUGGGGCUUAUUCUGCCCUAGCUCAGCUGCCCUCCUUGCCCAGCUGACUCAUGACUCUUUGAGUCAGGCAGCCACUUAUUUUCAGACAGGCAGGUAACCUUUAAUCUGCUUGCUGUCUGAAAUGGUGGGUCCUGAGUUGGGAGGUCUCCCUGAGAAAGAGGCCUUCCUAGGGACACAGUCCUGCCCUACUGGCUAGGUGACCGACCUCUGAUUCCAUUAUACUUGUUGGAAGGUGACUCAGCAGGUCCCAGAUGCCUUCCAGUGACUGGCUGGCCCACCAUUGUCAUGUUGUGGUCUAAAAUCAUCUGCUGUGUGCCUGCCUCAGGCACGAGUCUGACCUUCUCUGAUUCAUCUCCACAUCCUCAUUGCCUGGCACAGGGCCUGACACACAGUAGGAGCUCAAUAAAUGAAGUUUGAACAAGUGAAUCACUGAGAGCGGCAAGCUGAUCCCCUGACUGACCCUUGGUGUGAUUUCUUUUUUUUUUUUUUAAGAUUUUAUUUAUUUAUUUGACAGAGAUAGAGACAGCCAGCGAGAGUGGGAACACAAGCAGGGGGAGUGGGAGAGGAAGAUGCAGGCUCAUAGUGGAGGAGCCUGAUAUGGGGUUCGAUCCCAUAACGCCGGGAUCACACCCUGAGCCGAAGGCAGACGCUUAACCGCUGUGCCACCCAGGCGCCCCCUUGGUGUGAUUUCUUGUCAGUCGCUUCCCCUCCAUGUCUGAGUUUCCUCAGCUGAAAACUUCCCUCUUCAGGCAACUGAAAGGGUAGGAUUGUAGCUUGGACAUAGUUAUGUUCCAACUAUGAAAGAAGUUACCAUUCUUUGUUGACGACUGCACUGCCUGCGUGGAGCCGACGUGACCCCAUGAUGACCACAUCGCUGAAGCUCACGGUCUUUCAGUGCUCCCCAGCUUGCAGCCUCUCUCCCGUCCACUCCCGGUGCAGGGCGAUGGCAGGUCGAAAUAGGAACCAGGUAUCGAAAGCCCGGAUUCGAGCCGCAGCUCUGCUUUGGUUUAGCUUUGAGCUUACCCUGGGUCAUACUACGUUCCCUUUGUUUCCCAAGCUUAGUGCGGUGCCAGUACUGAGCAGACACUUGGUGUCUCCAUCUGUAAAGCCAGGAUCGCCGUCCUUCUUUCUCCUGGCUACCCAGUGGCCCACAGAGACAUUUUGACUGUUCUUUAGACCCCAUUCAGAUGAUGUCCUGUGCCGCUAUCCCGGCCCCCAGUGCCACAGAACCGUCUACAGCACCGCUCAGCUGUGUGCCAUGGGGCCAUCCCAGACUCAGGUCUUCAGCCCCACCUGCCAAACCCCCCCCACCAGGUUUUCCUCACUGAUUCACUCCUCCAUUUCCCAAGCCCUUUUUAAACCUUCUCUGCUUUUCCUAGUAUGAUAGUCCACACCUCCGUCUUUCUCACAAGAUGGCCUUGCCACUUCCUUCAUAGAGAGAAGGAACUCCCACAGCUCUGAACUGCAGACUUCAUUAUAGACUUAACCGUACCCUCCAUUCUUCUGCCUCAUGGCCCCAAAGAGGAGUUUCCUUCUCUUAUUGGGGGCUGGCCAUUCUCUCCACCUGGAUCCCAGCCCACCUGCCUUCCUAAGUACCUCGUUCCUCCAGUUAUGCUCCCGUGCUCCCGCUUCCUUCCCAGCAUCAUUUAAAUAGACUUUGACCCCUCACUUCUUAUGAAAACAAAUAAAACACUCCCUAGAGGCCACGCCUACCACCUAGCUGCUGCCAUGUCUCUUUUCCUUUUCACAUCCAGGUUUCUUGAAAGGGUUGUCUGCACUCACUGCCUGUGUUCACUUGUAAUGCCCCUGCUGUCUGGUGUCUACUCCCAGCCUUUGACUUUGUCUGUUCUUGCCUCGUUUCCCACAGACUUCCUCCUCUCCGAGUCCACUCCCGGUGCUUCUCCUCCUCCCCAGACUGUCUGACACAACCACUCCUCCCUUACUGAGGAACCAUCCUGCAUGUUCUGUUGCCUCCUGCCUCCCUGGCUUCUCAUCCCCCUUGUGGGCUCCUCUUCGGCUGCCCUGGCCUCUGUCCCCACAGCGUCCUCUCUCUCACUCCACAGAGCUUUCCCCAGCUGAUCUCACUUCCCACCGUGUGGCUGGCCCUCAGUGCACCCACGGCCCAGGCUGAAAUCCACACUCCUUGUCCUGGCUCAUGGCUGGUGGCCUGGCCUCUGGGGACCCCUCUGCCCCCCCAUUUCCCACUGUGCUCUAACCACAGGGGCCUCUUUCCUCUUCUUCACCAUCUGCCCUGCACACCCUGCCUCCUUCUGGUCAUCCUGGAAGGCCUUCCCCAACAGCCCAGUCUGCAGGAGCCUUCUGUUGCUCUCCGGCAUGUCAGCACCCCCUACAGAGUCUCUGCGUGGCGUUUCUUGUCUGCUCCUUUACUGGGUAAUUAAUUAUCUUUCCCCCACACCCGUUAGAAUGUGAGCUUUGUGAGCAUCUCGUGCAGGCAGGUAGUGAGUGCUCUGUAAACAGCUGCUGACUCAGCGAAUGGCGCUCCCAAAUCUCUCCUCGCCCCGGUCCGCACUGCUGAGUCCCGAGCCGUGAGUUCAGAUGCCCGCUGGCCGUCUCCUCUCAGAUGCCCGCGUGGUGCUGGCACGACUGCACCCCGCCCUGCUCGCUCCUUUCUCCUCACCCCACAGCCUUGUGCCCCUCCAUCUCCCCUGUCUUGGGGAAGGGCACCGCCAGCCGGGGGCCCAGAGAUGCGUCACGCUUGCCUCCUCCGCAUGCCUCGUUCUGUCUGUUCUUCCCCUGGAUACGUCUUAAACCACCCACUUCUCUCCGUGCCCCACUGCACCUUUCGUAGUCAGGCCAUCAUCAGGUCCCCCCUACACGACUCCAGCAGCUUCCAGACUCUUCUCCCCAUUAUGUAACCAGAGUGAUCUUUCAGAAACCAAACAUGAUCCUGUCACCACCACCCCGUCACAGCCAGUCCAUGGCGCCCAUUAUUAAAAGAGUGUUUGUAUGACAGAAUAGCACAAGAAACUGUGGAUGAAACUGAAAUUGCACAGAGACUCUCCAAAGUCAACAAGUACAUCUGUGAAAAAAUCAUGGAUAUCAAUAAAUCCUGUAAAAAUGAAGAACGAAGG
Ailuropoda melanoleuca (giant panda) is the source of this 4649-nucleotide RNA transcript. It is a transcript of the gene named BEN domain containing 5, with no coding region annotated. The transcript is spliced from 7 exons. The record is from RefSeq and is a predicted model, not a curated record. Lineage: Eukaryota; Metazoa; Chordata; Mammalia; Carnivora; Ursidae.